GAUGAACGCUGGCGGCGUGCCUAAUACAUGCAAGUCGAGCGAAUGGAUUAAGAGCUUGCUCUUAUGAAGUUAGCGGCGGACGGGUGAGUAACACGUGGGUAACCUGCCCAUAAGACUGGGAUAACUCCGGGAAACCGGGGCUAAUACCGGAUAACAUUUUGAACCGCAUGGUUCGAAAUUGAAAGGCGGCUUCGGCUGUCACUUAUGGAUGGACCCGCGUCGCAUUAGCUAGUUGGUGAGGUAACGGCUCACCAAGGCAACGAUGCGUAGCCGACCUGAGAGGGUGAUCGGGCAGACGGGGACUGAGACACGGCCCAGACUCCUACGGGAGGAAGCAGUAGGGAAUCUUCCGCAAUGGACGAAAGUCUGACGGAGCAACGCCGCGUGAGUGAUGAAGGCUUUCGGGUCGUAAGACUCUGUUGUUAGGGAAGAACAAGUGCUAGUUGAAUAAGCUGGCACCUUGACGGUACCUAACCAGAAAGCCACGGCUAACUACGUGCCAGCAGCCGCCGUAA
Molecule: ribosomal RNA, 515 nt
Filed under: uncultured bacterium
Lineage: Bacteria
Description: partial 16S ribosomal RNA
Rfam family: Bacterial small subunit ribosomal RNA
Source: RNAcentral